UUCAAGACUACAGGUUAUUAGCCAAACAAGCAGCUUGUCAGCCAUUGAUCAGUCCAGGUUUUUAUUGCAUGGAAAAGAACAGCAUGAACAUCCUUCAAAAUGCUUUGGACCAACAUGAGGUUUCCACGCAGUUCAGAGACGCCAACAGCCGACGCUCCCUGUGUUACAUGGGUUGCUUGGAAACCAGCGCAUUGGGAGUGUGUAGUGCAACACACAGAGGCACAGGAUGCAGCACAUAGAGAAAAACAGGCGCUCAAAGCCCACGUGUGGACAGCAUCCUCCAGACGCUCAUGAAGAUGUCCCACGGACUUCAGUUCAGUUCACACAGCCGCUUCGGUCGCGGCGUCCCGUGGACGGAUCAGAGAUGUCAUCUGGUUGUCUCAAUUUGUGGAGUUUGGACUUUGGCCGGCUUCACCCCCUCCAGCUCUGAGGAUAAAGCUGGAUUAACAUCACAUCCCUUCUAGUAUCCAUGGGCUCGAGGAGGAUACAGACUGGUUAAGACACUUCCUUCCCCCUCCACAUCCAGUGCAAAAAAAUAAAAAAUAAGA
This is a long non-coding RNA of Sinocyclocheilus grahami, 548 nucleotides long. RefSeq lists it as uncharacterized. Lineage: Eukaryota; Metazoa; Chordata; Actinopteri; Cypriniformes; Cyprinidae. The record is from RefSeq and is a predicted model, not a curated record. The transcript has 4 exons.